GUCUGGCCACACGUCUGUCCCCGGACGCUUCUCUCCCUCCMCCUACCUGCCCGUCUGUCUCUCCUUCCUGCCGCUUCGCUCCAUCCGUCCUUCCGCCCCUUCGCAGGCGCUUUGCCCAUCCAUCCACCCAUCUGUCCGUCCUUCCGUCCCUCCUCCUCCCUAUCCUCCCUCCCUGGAUUCUUCUGCGUGUCCACCCCCCGUCUGUCCGUUCAGCUGUCCAGCCCCAGGCACUCCUUUCCAGCCAUUCGCUGCUCUGUCCAUCCAUCCCCACUGCCCAACUCCAUCCGUUCACUGCCACUUCAUCUAGUGAAUCUAUCUAUCCAUCCAUCUCCUCUGCCUCAUCUCGCAUCCACCCAUCUGUCCCUCUGGCCACUCAUCGGUCCAUCCAUCUCUGCCUCUUUUCUCCCAUCCAUCCCUCUGUGUGUCCACUCGUGUGCCCAUCCGUCCACCUGUCUGUCCAUCUGCUUGCCUGUUCAUCCAUCCACCCAUCUGUCCAUCCACCCAUCUGUCCCCUGUCACUUUUCUCUAUCCAUCCACCUGUCUCUCCGUCCGUUUGUUCAUCACCCAUCCAUGUGGCCUUUUGUCCAUCCAUCUGUCCAUCCAUCCACUCAUCCAUCCACUCAUCCAUCCACUCAUCCAUCCAUCCAUCCCUGCCACUUUUCUCUAUCCAUCCACCUGUCUUUCCAUCCGUUUGUUCAUCACCCAUCCAUGUGGCCUUUUGUCCAUCCAUCCACUCAUCCAUCCACUCAUCCAUCCACUCAUCCAUCCGCUCAUCCAUCCAUCCAUCCAUCCCUGCCACUUUUCUCUAUCCAUCCACCUUUCUCUCCAUCCGUUUGUUCAUCACCCAUCCAUGUGACCUUUUGUCUGUCCAUCCACUCAUCCAUCCGCUCAUCCAUCUGCUCAUCCAUCCGCUCAUCCAUCCAUCCAUCCAUCCCUGCCACUUUUCUCUAUCCAUCCACCUGUCUCUCCAUCCGUUUGUUCAUCACCCAUCCAUGUGGCCUUUUGUCUGUCCAUGCACUCAUCCAUCCGCUCAUCCAUCCGCUCAUCCAUCCAUCCAUCCAUCCAUCCCUGCCACUUCUCUCUAUCCAUCCAUUUGUCUGUCCAUCUGUGCAUCCAUGCACCCAUCU
Molecule: long non-coding RNA, 1127 nt
Filed under: Dromaius novaehollandiae (emu)
Lineage: Eukaryota; Metazoa; Chordata; Aves; Casuariiformes; Dromaiidae
Description: lncRNA (ENSDNVG00000008086.1)
Source: RNAcentral